This 487-nucleotide ribosomal RNA is filed under the name uncultured bacterium. RNAcentral describes it as "bacterial SSU rRNA". It matches the Rfam family "Bacterial small subunit ribosomal RNA", at positions 30 to 524 of the family's 1533-position model. The record is from RNAcentral.
CGAACGCUGGCGGCGCGCCUAAUUNAUGCAAGUCGAGCGACGCAUUCCUUANCCCGUANGGGCGGGUUUGACGGAGCGNCNAACGGGUGCGUNACACGUGACCAAUCUGCCCCGAANACCGGGAUANCCCGGGGAAACCCGGAUUAAUACCGGAUGAUCUCAUCACCACGCAUGUGGAGAUGAGCAAAGGUUCAGGCGCUUCGGGAUGAGGUCGCGGCCCAUCAGCUUGUUGGUGAGGUAACGGCUCACCAAGGCAAUGACGGGUAGCUGGUCUGAGAGGACGAUCAGCCACACUGGAACUGAGAUACGGUCCAGACUCCUACGGGAGGCAGCAGGAGGGAAUCUUGCGCAAUGGGCGAAAGCCUGACGCAGCGACGCCGCGUGGGGGAUGAAGGCCUUAGGGUUGUAAACCCCUUUCACGAGGGAAGAAACUGACGGUACCUCGAGAAGAAGCCCCGGCCAACUACGUGCCAGCAGCCGCGGUAAU